UACGGAGGGUGCGAGCGUUAAUCGGAAUUACUGGGCGUAAAGCGCACGUAGGCGGUCGUGUAAGUCGGAUGUGAAAGCCCCGGGCUCAACUUGGGAACUGCAUUUGAUACUGUCAGACUAGAGUACAGAAGAGGUGACUGGAAUUCCCAGUGUAGCGGUGAAAUGCGUAGAUAUUGGGAGGAACACCAGAUGCGAAGGCGGGUCACUGGGCUGAUACUGACGCUGAAGUGCGAAAGCCAGGGGAGCGAACGGG
Molecule: ribosomal RNA, 253 nt
Filed under: uncultured prokaryote
Description: partial 16S ribosomal RNA
Rfam family: Bacterial small subunit ribosomal RNA
Source: RNAcentral